CAACCCUCAAGCUCAGCUUGGUAUUAGGCUUCACCCUUAGGGGCGGGCUUUAAAAUCAGUGGCGGUGCCAUUCGGCUUCAAGCGUAGUAAUUUUCUCGCUUUGGAGGACCGGCUGUGUGCCUGCCAGCAACCCCAAUUUUUUAAA
This 145-nucleotide unclassified non-coding RNA is filed under the name Alatospora pulchella. Its description in RNAcentral is "partial internal transcribed spacer 2". Lineage: Eukaryota; Fungi; Ascomycota; Leotiomycetes; Leotiales; Leotiaceae. The record is from RNAcentral.